RNAcentral lists this ribosomal RNA (490 nucleotides) under uncultured bacterium. RNAcentral's name for it is "partial 16S ribosomal RNA". It matches the Rfam family "Bacterial small subunit ribosomal RNA", at positions 28 to 507 of the family's 1533-position model. The record is from RNAcentral.
GAUGAACGCUAGCGAUAGGCUUAACACAUGCAAGUCGAGGGGCAGCAUGGUCUUAGCUUGCUAAGGCUGAUGGCGACCGGCGCACGGGUGCGUAACGCGUCUGCAACUUGCCUCACAGAGGGGGAUAACCCGUCGAAAGACGGACUAAUACCGCGUACACUCUAUGUUGGGCAUCCAAUGUAGAGGAAAUGAAAUUGGCUGUGAGAUAGGCAUGCGUCCGAUUAGCUAGUUGGUGAGGUAACGGCUCACCAAGGCGACGAUGGGUAGGGGAACUGAGAGGUUGCCCCCCGAGACUGGUACUGAGACACGGACCAGACUGCUACGGGAGGGAGCAGUAAGGAAGAUUGGUCAAGGGGCGAGAGCCUGAACCAGCCAAGUCGCGUGAAGGAUGACUGUCUUAUGGAUUGUAAACUUCUUUUAUACGAGAGUAACAAGAGUCACGUGUGGCUCCCUGCAUGUACCGGAUGAAUAAGCAUCGGCUAACUACGUG